AUUGUUUGUUAAAUUUACUUCUGUGGGCUUUCUUCCCUUGAUUCCUCCCUUCCCUUGUUGGGAAAACUCGUUUCUGCUUCCCUUGUUAACGCAUCUAACCUGCUGUGAAAGUAUGUGUGCUGUCGUACUCUUAGAUCUCAAUUACUCAAUCACCUCUACACAUAUUUAGCUAAUCUAAUUCUUUAUUUUUUUUCUCAAUACUGGGAUUUGAUAUCAAUUCAAUUAGAAGGGUUUUCCAUUCUACCAAAACUAUAAAAUUCAUUUUGUUGAUAUCCAAUCAUUUGAAACGAUAAAACCCUAGGAUUAUUUUAAUUCAUAUUCAAUCAUUUUUUUUUGAAGGAAAUUCAUAUUCAAUCAUGGUUAAACACCUAAAAUUAAAAGCAAACUCAUCUAACAAUCUCCUACUUUCACCAUUAUCCUCUCCAAUUGUGAUUUUAUCAUAAGCUUGGCAUAAAUUUCCUUCAUGUGCUGCAAUAGAUACGAGGAGUUAAAUAAGAGGGAAAGGAGAUUCAAACAAGAAUAAUAAUAUUCAUAGGAGUGGGGGAAGAGAAAAACAAUUUUCCCAGAAGAGAAUAACGAGUAUCAAUACUCCAUGUUUUCAGUUUGAGUUUUUCAAUCACUAAAAGCAAUAAUUGUGUGUGAAUGAGAGAAAUGAUACACAAGAAAAAGAAACACGGGUUAAUUAUAGGCUUUUGGAUUAAAAGAAUUGACGGGUAUGAUUUGGUGUCAACGAAUCCGUUGACACCUGGUUGUUAAAG
This 758-nucleotide long non-coding RNA is filed under the name Medicago truncatula (barrel medic). Its description in RNAcentral is "lncRNA gene24534". The record is from RNAcentral. Lineage: Eukaryota; Viridiplantae; Streptophyta; Magnoliopsida; Fabales; Fabaceae.